This 214-nucleotide long non-coding RNA is filed under the name Lathyrus oleraceus (garden pea). RNAcentral's name for it is "Pisum sativum (pea) long non-coding RNA (PSAT_LNC027276)". Lineage: Eukaryota; Viridiplantae; Streptophyta; Magnoliopsida; Fabales; Fabaceae. The record is from RNAcentral.
UCGUUUUUUUAAAAACAAAAAUAGAAAUUGUUUUGUAUUUGAAUUAUAAUUUAUGUUGAUCGACGAUAGGUGAUUCCAAAUCAAUGGUGUUGAUCUUUGAUGCGGUAGCGAGGGGUGAACCUGUAAGGUUAACACUUCAACGUCAAAGUUAAUUCAGAAUCCAAAAUGAGUAUAGUGAAAACGGAGACCAAAAAGUGUACCUUGAAUCUUGCAU